CUCUGUGACUCCUACGGGAGGCAGCAGUGGGGAAUAUUGCACAAUGGGCGCAAGCCUGAUGCAGCCAUGCCGCGUGUAUGAAGAAGGCCUUCGGGUUGUAAAGUACUUUCAGCAGUGAGGAAGGCGGAGUCGUUAAUAGCGGCCUCGUUUGACGUUUAGCUGCAGAAGAAGCACCGGCUAACUCCGUGCCAGCAGCCGCGGUAAUACGGAGGGUGCGAGCGUUAAUCGGAAUUACUGGGCGUAAAGCGCAUGCAGGUGGUUUGUUAAGUCAGAUGUGAAAGCCCGGGGCUCAACCUCGGAAUUGCAUUUGAAACUGGCAGACUAGAGUACUGUAGAGGGGGUAGAAUUUCAGGUGUAGCGGUGAAAUGCGUAGAGAUCUGAAGGAAUACCGGUGGCGAAGGCGGCCCCCUGGACAGAUACUGACACUCAGAUGCGAAAGCGUGGGGAGCAAACAGGAUUAGAUACCCUGGUAG
This 473-nucleotide ribosomal RNA is filed under the name uncultured bacterium. Its description in RNAcentral is "bacterial SSU rRNA". It matches the Rfam family "Bacterial small subunit ribosomal RNA", at positions 328 to 793 of the family's 1533-position model. The record is from RNAcentral.